UGACAUCUUAACUGCAGUCUUGUGACAGGUCCUCAGACAGGAUAAGCCAAAUUAUACCCAGACUGCUGAUCCACAGAAAAUGAGAGGAAACUCCAGGAUUCUAAAAGUAAAGCCCUAUGGAAAUAAAUCAAUAACAUUUCAAAUGAAGAACCAAAAUCGGGAAAUGCAAAUCACAACUCUAACAUCAACAUUAACUUAUAGCCAGACAAUUAUGCAUUUCUUUAGUCAACAACUAGCUGCUAAUUAUUUACUAUGUGUCAAGUCUUAUAAUG
Homo sapiens (human) is the source of this 272-nucleotide long non-coding RNA. RefSeq lists it as uncharacterized. Lineage: Eukaryota; Metazoa; Chordata; Mammalia; Primates; Hominidae. The record is from RefSeq and is a predicted model, not a curated record. The transcript has 3 exons.